This 253-nucleotide ribosomal RNA is filed under the name uncultured bacterium. RNAcentral's name for it is "partial 16S ribosomal RNA". It matches the Rfam family "Bacterial small subunit ribosomal RNA", at positions 524 to 776 of the family's 1533-position model. The record is from RNAcentral.
UACAGAGGUGGCAAGCGUUGUUCGGAAUUACUGGGCGUAAAGGGCUCGUAGGCGGCCAACUAAGUCAGACGUGAAAUCCCUCGGCUUAACCGGGGAACUGCGUCUGAUACUGGAUGGCUGGAGAUUGGGAGAGGGAUGCGGAAUUCCAGGUGUAGCGGUGAAAUGCGUAGAUAUCUGGAGGAACACCGGUGGCGAAGGCGGCAUCCUGGACCAACACUGACGCUGAGGAGCGAAAGCCAGGGGAGCAAACGGG